This 240-nucleotide ribosomal RNA is filed under the name uncultured Lactobacillus sp. Its description in RNAcentral is "partial 16S ribosomal RNA". It matches the Rfam family "Bacterial small subunit ribosomal RNA", at positions 122 to 352 of the family's 1533-position model. Lineage: Bacteria; Bacillati; Bacillota; Bacilli; Lactobacillales; Lactobacillaceae. The record is from RNAcentral.
UAACCUGCCCAAGAGAUCGGGAUAACACCUGGAAACAGAUGCUAAUACCGGAUAAUAACAGAUGAUGCCUAUCAACUGUUUAAAAGAUGGUUCUGCUAUCACUCUUGGAUGGACCUGCGGUGCAUUAGCUAGUUGGUAGGGUAACGGCCUACCAAGGCGAUGAUGCAUAGCCGAGUUGAGANACUGAUCGGCCACAUUGGGACUGAGACACGGCCCAAACUCCUACGGGAGGCAGCCAGA